AUUGAACGCUCGCGGGAUGCUUUACACAUGCAAGUCGAACGGCAGCGCGGACUUCGGUCUGGCGGCGAGUGGCGAACGGGUGAGUAAUGUAUCGGAACGUGCCCAGUAGCGGGGGAUAACUACGCGAAAGCGUAGCUAAUACCGCAUACGCCCUACGGGGGAAAGCAGGGGAUCGUAAGACCUUGCACUAUUGGAGCGUCCGAUAUCGGAUUAGCUAGUUGGUGAGGUAACGGCUCACCAAGGCGACGAUCCGUAGCUGGUUUGAGAGGACGACCAGCCACACUGGGACUGAGACACGGCCCAGACUCCUACGGGAGGCAGCAGUGGGGAAUUUUGGACAAUGGGGGCAACCCUGAUCCAGCCAUCCCGCGUGUGCGAUGAAGGCCUUCGGGUUGUAAAGCACUUUUGGCAGGAAAGAAACGUCGCGGGCUAAUACCCCGUGGAACUGACGGUACCUGCAGAAUAAGCACCGGCUAACUACGUG
RNAcentral lists this ribosomal RNA (484 nucleotides) under uncultured bacterium. RNAcentral's name for it is "partial 16S ribosomal RNA". It matches the Rfam family "Bacterial small subunit ribosomal RNA", at positions 30 to 507 of the family's 1533-position model. The record is from RNAcentral.